Molecule: ribosomal RNA, 253 nt
Filed under: uncultured bacterium
Lineage: Bacteria
Description: partial 16S ribosomal RNA
Rfam family: Bacterial small subunit ribosomal RNA
Source: RNAcentral
UACAGAGGGUGCAAGCGUUACUCGGAAUUACUGGGCGUAAAGCGUGCGCAGGCGGCUUUGCAAGACAGAUGUGAAAUCCCCGGGCUUAACCUGGGAACUGCAUUUGUGACUGCAUGGCUGGAGUGCGGCAGAGGGGGAUGGAAUUCCGCGUGUAGCAGUGAAAUGCGUAGAUAUGCGGAGGAACACCGAUGGCGAAGGCAAUCCCCUGGGCCUGCACUGACGCUCAUGCACGAAAGCGUGGGGAGCAAACAGG